GGAUGGAGAGAGUAUCACCCUUCUAUAAUACAGAGAGAGUGUUCUUUGGGUCCAUGUUUGUUUGUCAGCCCUUGUAUUGUACAUGUUCAGCCCAAAAAUGUGUUUAGUUUAAUUACCCAUUGAUUUUUUUAUUUCUCCAUGUUAUAUUUUCAUUUGUUGAAUUCAUAAAGAUUGAUUGUUUUGCUGAUGUAAUUCAAUUAUUUCACAAUUUUCAUUUCUCUUUUAGCUAUUUUAUUGUUUGACGUUAUAUUUAAGUUUGUUCAAUUUGUGAAAUUUAUCCUUUGAUGUGUACAAACCUUUGUUCCGUAAGUCUAUAUUUAUCAUUUUAAUAAAUUUAUAUUAACAAUAUUUACUUAUCAUUUUAUAAUAUUUGUUGCAUAUCCGUAAUAGUUUGUUACUAUUGUAUACACAUUUUGUUUUUCCCGUAUAAAUUUUGUUUCGCUUAAUUACAAUUUUUUGUCGUGGUGAAAUAUUUUUUGUGACGCAGGCCAAAAGCAUAAGAAUAUAGUAGUGACGAAUGAUCAAAUAACCAAUCUAUAAGCGUAAGAAAAUCACACGGGAUGCU
Molecule: long non-coding RNA, 565 nt
Filed under: Setaria viridis
Lineage: Eukaryota; Viridiplantae; Streptophyta; Magnoliopsida; Poales; Poaceae
Description: long non-coding RNA (SVIR_LNC009732)
Source: RNAcentral